GACCCUGGUCUUAAUUUGGUCUCUAAACCAGUCUCUGGGCUUUCCAGUCCUAUCGACCCCAUUUAAAAAGAAUCCCCACCCCACCCCCAAAAAAAAAAAAAAAUCCAAACACCCAAAGCAGGUACCAAAGCUUAACAGCAGAAGUUAAAACUGCAAUUUUUUGUUGUAUCCAGGUGGGGUAAAGUCAGUGUGAACUCGCCUGCAGCAAGUCGGAUGGAGCAGUGUGAAAGGCAGUGGUGAAAACGUGACAGGGCAUCGCUUCACCUAAAGGUAUCUUGGAUUUCUGGCACGGAGCUGUGGGUAGGAGGGUGAAUGAGAACUGGGGAGGGGGGUGAGGUGGUGUUUUGGGGAGGGCAAGACCCUCAUUUCUGAUGAGAAAUGUUUUGAGUUUUGCCUGCUUUCCUCUGCUACCCCUUCCCAGCUCAGACAACUCUUCUCUUCUUCGGUGUGCUUGCCCAGGGCUGUUGUAUAUGACUGUUUAAACAGUGUUUAAACAGCCAUAAGCCUGUUUAUUUACGGAGGCUAUAAAUUAUCUCGAAAUCGGAAUUCAUCACCCUGCAAAUACCUUGUUUUAACAGGCAAGCUGGCUCUCGGCUAGAAUGACAAUAGCAAGAGACCUCCUGGCUGCUCUGCCAAGUCUCUGUCAAGGGCAAGUGUCCUUGCACGGGCGAUUGCUGCCUUCCAGAGAUCCAGGCAGGCUCCCAGGGUGGAUUUCUCUUGGUGGAUUUAUCUUAUCUUCCAGGCCUUAGCAGCGGUUGUCUCCAAAAGCAAGGAGGAGAGGCUGAUGUUAAUCAAGGAGUGAGCUUGUCCUAGCUUUUCCUCCUCACCCCAGUUGCUAAUGGGUAAGUCUGGUUUUGAAGCACGGGGCUCUUAACAACAGAGCCAUCAAUAUCCUGUUCGGCGUUAACUGGGGCUGUUUCCUUGACUAGUAGUUGUUCUGAGGCCUUGGACUUAGUAAGUAAUUGGAGAAUUUGUCUGAAAACACAUAAACAUCCUGAUUUCACUAUGCAAACUGUAAUUUCCUUGUCAGAUAA
RNAcentral lists this long non-coding RNA (1034 nucleotides) under Calidris pygmaea (Spoon-billed sandpiper). RNAcentral describes it as "lncRNA (ENSCPGG00000005426.1)". The record is from RNAcentral. Lineage: Eukaryota; Metazoa; Chordata; Aves; Charadriiformes; Scolopacidae.